GCGGCUGUGGUGAAACGGCAGACACGCGGCGUUCAGGUCGCCGUGCUCGCAAGGGCGUGGAGGUUCGACUCCUCUCAGCCGCA
This 83-nucleotide transfer RNA is filed under the name Actinomycetota bacterium. RNAcentral describes it as "tRNA-Leu". It matches the Rfam family "tRNA". From Rfam's summary of the family: Transfer RNA (tRNA) molecules are approximately 80 nucleotides in length. Their secondary structure includes four short double-helical elements and three loops (D, anti-codon, and T loops). The record is from RNAcentral. Lineage: Bacteria; Bacillati; Actinomycetota.